Long non-coding RNA from Helianthus annuus (common sunflower), 456 nucleotides. RefSeq lists it as uncharacterized. The transcript is spliced from 2 exons. Lineage: Eukaryota; Viridiplantae; Streptophyta; Magnoliopsida; Asterales; Asteraceae. The record is from RefSeq and is a predicted model, not a curated record.
CGACGUCGUGGUGUUGUCAAACAUAGAAGAAGGAUAAGAAUAAUAAUCUUGAUAUCCCAGUAACUCCAUGAACCCUAAUGAAGUCUUCUGAUCAUCAUCAUCAUUAGCAGCAGCAGCAGCAGAUAUCGAUGAAAAUGGGUUGGUAUAUGGGAGUAUAAAGGAGGCUUGGUGUGAAAGGUUGACCGGGAGUUGUCGGUAAAGGAUGUACGGAGAACAGACAGUGGCCGGUGGUCGUAUUUAAUGCCACCACUGGCUUUGACUCUGACUCACAGAUAGAUAAGGCUGUACGGGGCACCCUUCGGGGACCCCUUCGGGGACACCAUAUCCCGAUCGGCAAGGCUCCGCCAACCCUUCGGGGACCAAGAGAGAAGGAUGGAAGCCGGUGGCGGCUCACCGAAGAGAGAGGGAGGAGAGAGAGAGGGAGUGACCAAUCACAUCUUUUCUUUUUUUUUUUUU